CUUAAGAGACCCGCAAGCUUUCUAGCGAGCGUGCGUGUGAGAGCACCGCCGACUGCCUCCCGCUGACAGUGUGACCCCAGCGCGCCAAGGCCAGCCGGCCACAUGCAGCAGCCUCCUGGCGGCGCGUCGGGUCAGCGCUGACAAUCUCCCCCUGGAGAGGGGCCCUGCGCUCCAGCUUCGACCCAGCCUGGCCGCCCAGGUCCUUGGGCUCCCCAACCCGCUCCGCCCCUCACCCAGCCAGGCACGAGGGCAAGUACCCGGACGAACCCCGCGCGCUGCCCCAAGCCCUGGAUCCCUCCCUUCCCACUGUCUUCAGCUUCCUCGAAAAAGCGGAAAAGCGGAAUCUGCAUGCCCAGAAACUCGCUUUGGGAGCCUAAGGAGUCCUACUGGGCAUGCUCAGGACUUGGGGCGCCUCGCGAGGAGGAACUCUCCAGCCGCCAACAUCUGCACGGCUGGGCCAGAUAAAAAUCUGUCUCCUGAGGGAAGAGCUGGGGAGACAACUCAUUGAACAGUCUAAAUACACAGGCCUACAGAAGUGGUACCUGAAACAUAGAGGCAAAGGAACCAAGAACCAGGAAUAGAGAGGCAGUAAAAUGAAAAGCCCAGUACAAUUAAUGUCACCUAAGAGGCAUGCCAAGAAUACAACAUGUGCACAACACCUGGAACAACAAACCAAACCAGCCUACAGAAGGGCAUAAAGGAGACACCAAAGAGGACAUCAUCUAUUUGGGCUCUUGUGAUUGCAGGUGAGAGCUGUUAAUUGUAGCAGCCAGGGAAAGAAGAUGGCAGAACAUAUCCAAGAAGAUUACCCUCCAGAGAACUACCAUCUUGAGGACAUCUGAAAGGAACGUGAUGGACACCAUGUGAUAAUCAAGCA
Molecule: long non-coding RNA, 877 nt
Organism: Physeter macrocephalus (sperm whale)
Lineage: Eukaryota; Metazoa; Chordata; Mammalia; Artiodactyla; Physeteridae
Exons: 3
Source: RefSeq, a predicted model, not a curated record